This 339-nucleotide ribosomal RNA is filed under the name uncultured bacterium. Its description in RNAcentral is "bacterial SSU rRNA". It matches the Rfam family "Bacterial small subunit ribosomal RNA", at positions 32 to 371 of the family's 1533-position model. The record is from RNAcentral.
AAUCAACGCUGGCGGCGUGCCUAACACAUGCAAGUCGAACGAGAAAGUGGAGCAAUCCAUGAGUAAAGUGGCGACCGGGUGAGUAACACGUGACUAACCUACCUUCGAGUGGGGAUAACCUCGGGAAACCGGGCUAAUACCGCAUAACAUCUUUGAAGUGGAAAUUUCGAAGAUCAAAGGAGCAAUUCGCUGGAAGAGGGGGUCGCGGCUGAUUAGCUAGUUGGUGGGGUAACGCCACCAAGGCUUAGAUCGUAGCCGCCUGAGAGGGUGUCCGGCCACACUGGGACUGAGACACUGCCCAGACUCCUACGGGAGGCUGCAGUCGCGAAUCAUUCACAA